GAAAUGCGAUAAGUAGUGUGAAUUGCAGAAUUUAGCGAAUCAUCGAAUCUUUGAACGCACAUUGCGCCCCUUGGUAUUCCAUGGUGCAUGCCUGUUCGAGCGUCAUUUCAACCCUCAAGCACUGCUUGGUGUUGGGCGUUUGUCCCGCCUACGCGCGUGGACUCGCCUCAAAGUCAUUGGCGGCUGUUCCCCUUCGGCUCGUAAGCGCAGCACAGUCGGCGCCCGGAGCUCUGGUGGGAUGGCGUCCAGCAAGCUAUAUUUUCAGGCUUGACCUCGGAUCAGGUAGGGAUACCUGCUGAACUUAAGC
RNAcentral lists this unclassified non-coding RNA (307 nucleotides) under plant metagenome. RNAcentral's name for it is "partial contains 5.8S ribosomal RNA, internal transcribed spacer 2, and large subunit ribosomal RNA". The stretch from base 1 to 105 matches the Rfam family "5.8S ribosomal RNA", at positions 50 to 154 of the family's 154-position model. The record is from RNAcentral.